Molecule: unclassified non-coding RNA, 331 nt
Filed under: soil metagenome
Description: partial contains 5.8S ribosomal RNA, internal transcribed spacer 2, and large subunit ribosomal RNA
Rfam family: 5.8S ribosomal RNA (bases 1-120)
Source: RNAcentral
GAUGAAGAACGUAGCAAAAUGCGAUAAGUAAUGUGAAUUGCAGAAUUCAGUGAAUCAUCGAAUCUUUGAACGCACAUUGCGCCCGCCAGUAUUCUGGCGGGCAUGCCUGUUCGAGCGACAUUUCAACCCUCAAGCACAGCUUGGUGUUGGGACUCGCGUUAAUUCGCGUUCCCCAAAUUGAUUGGCGGUCACGUCGAGCUUCCAUAGCGUAGUAGUAAAACCCUCGUUACUGGUAAUCGUCGCGGCCACGCCGUUAAACCCCAACUUCUGAAUGUUGACCUCGGAUCAGGUAGGAAUACCCGCUGAACUUAAGCAUAUCAAUAAGCGGAGG